RNAcentral lists this ribosomal RNA (207 nucleotides) under uncultured bacterium. RNAcentral describes it as "partial 16S ribosomal RNA". It matches the Rfam family "Bacterial small subunit ribosomal RNA", at positions 568 to 774 of the family's 1533-position model. The record is from RNAcentral.
UGUGUAGGCGGCUUGAUAAGUCAGAGGUGAAAUCUGUCGGCUUAACCGGCAAAUUGCCUCUGAAACUGUCUUGCUUGAGUCCGAGAGAGGAAGGUGGAAUUCCUGGUGUAGCGGUGAAAUGCGUAAAUAUCAGGAGGAACACCGGUGGCGAAGGCGGCCUUCUGGCUCGGUACUGACGCUGAGGCACGAAAGCCAGGGGAGCGAACG